CACAGCCCUACAAGCUAUUUGGCAUAUGAAGGUCCUGACCUGAGAAAACCAUCUUGGAUAACCACGCGAGGAGAGGGAAAAAUGCAACACCUAGGAGAUUUCAGUAAACAGUAGAAUCAUGCCAACCUAAUCUGUGUUAAAAUGCUUGGAAUGUGGGAGCCGCCGAGGAUGCCUGUUGUCUGUGUGUCUGACUGAAUCCUUUCUUUUCUCAGAGCAGCAAAGCCAAGCCUGGGAACCAGGCCAAAUGCCUGCCACUUACCUUAAAUUGAUCAGCCACUUUGAGAUUAAAAC
RNAcentral lists this long non-coding RNA (291 nucleotides) under Lynx pardinus (Iberian lynx). The record is from RNAcentral. Lineage: Eukaryota; Metazoa; Chordata; Mammalia; Carnivora; Felidae.